RNAcentral lists this ribosomal RNA (476 nucleotides) under uncultured bacterium. RNAcentral's name for it is "bacterial SSU rRNA". It matches the Rfam family "Bacterial small subunit ribosomal RNA", at positions 335 to 799 of the family's 1533-position model. The record is from RNAcentral.
ACUCCUACGGGAGGCAGCAGUGGGGAAUAUUGCACAAUGGGCGCAAGCCUGAUGCAGCCAUGCCGCGUGUGUGAAGAAGGCCUUCGGGUUGUAAAGCACUUUCAGCAGUGAGGAAGGCGGAGUCGUUAAUAGCGGCCUCGUUUGACGUUAGCUGCAGAAGAAGCACCGGCUAACUCCGUGCCAGCAGCCGCGGUAAUACGGAGGGUGCGAGCGUUAAUCGGAAUUACUGGGCGUAAAGCGCAUGCAGGUGGUUUGUUAAGUCAGAUGUGAAAAGCCCGGGGCUCAACCUCGGAAUAGCAUUUGAAACUGGCAGACUAGAGUACUGUAGAGGGGGGUAGAAUUUCAGGUGUAAGCGGUGAAAUGCGUAGAGAUCUGAAGGAAUACCGGUGGCGAAGGCGGCCCCCUGGACAGAUACUGACACUCAGAUGCGAAAAGCGUGGGGAGCAAACAGGAUUAGAUACCCUGGUAGGAUAGCG